This 497-nucleotide ribosomal RNA is filed under the name uncultured bacterium. Its description in RNAcentral is "partial 16S ribosomal RNA". It matches the Rfam family "Bacterial small subunit ribosomal RNA", at positions 28 to 507 of the family's 1533-position model. The record is from RNAcentral.
GAUGAACGCUGGCGGCGUGCCUAAUACAUGCAAGUCGAGCGAACGGACGAGAAGCUUGCUUUUCUGAUGUUAGCGGCGGACGGGUGAGUAACACGUGGAUAACCUACCUAUAAGACUGGGAUAACUUCGUGAAACCGGAGCUAAUACCGGAUAAUAUUUUGAACCGCAUGGUUCAAAAGUGAAAGACGGUCUUGCUUUCACUUAUAGAUGGAUCCGCGCUGCAUUAGCUAGUUGGUAAGGUAACGGCUUACCAAGGCAACGAUGCAUAGCCGACCUGAGAGGGUGAUCGGCCACACUGGAACUGAGACACGGUCCAGACUCCUACGGGAGGCAGCAGUAGGGAAUCUUCCGCAAUGGGCGAAAGCCUGACGGAGCAACGCCGCGUGAGUGAUGAAGGUCUUCGGAUCGUAAAACUCUGUUAUUAGGGAAGAACAUAUGUGUAAGUAACUGUGCACAUCUUGACGGUACCUAAUCAGAAAGCCACGGCUAACUACGUG